RNAcentral lists this unclassified non-coding RNA (298 nucleotides) under Hevea brasiliensis (rubber tree). Lineage: Eukaryota; Viridiplantae; Streptophyta; Magnoliopsida; Malpighiales; Euphorbiaceae. The record is from RNAcentral.
UCAAAAUUUCUUCCAUGGGACGCCUGUAAGGUUCAAUUUAUCACAUUUGACAAAGAUGAAACACUUAUAAAGUCCAUAGAUAUAUUGCAAACUUGAAAUAACAGCAUUUAAAUUAAAAAGAAAAUGCAAAGAUAAAACCAUGCAUCAGCAAUCCCCUACAUGAAUUUGCACUUUGCACCAAAGGGAAAAAUGCAAUAAUGCAUGUAAUUAGGCCACAAAGUAAAUUAGCAACACAAUUGUUGUAUGUUUCUAAUGAUGAUCUAAAAGUUGAUAAUAAACAGAUGCUGAGAGAGAGAGA